This 200-nucleotide ribosomal RNA is filed under the name uncultured bacterium. Its description in RNAcentral is "partial 16S ribosomal RNA". It matches the Rfam family "Bacterial small subunit ribosomal RNA", at positions 524 to 724 of the family's 1533-position model. The record is from RNAcentral.
UACAGAGGUCUCAAGCGUUGUUCGGAUUCAUUGGGCGUAAAGGGUGUGUAGGUGGCGCCGUAAGUCGGGUGUGAAAUUUCGGAGCUUAACUCCGAAACUGCAUUCGAUACUGCGGUGCUUGAGGACUGGAGAGGAGACUGGAAUUCAUGGUGUAGCAGUGAAAUGCGUAGAGAUCAUGAGAAGACCAGUGGCGAAGGCGG